AUUCUUCCCAUAUGGACUCGCGCUAUUUAGUUACUUGUCAGUAGAUGCAGUACAUGUGCUCUAUUAAUACGGAUUUCCUACUUGCAUCAUAAUUUUAGGAUAUUUUACUUAAUUUUUUAAAAAAUAUCAAUAUGUCUUUACCUUGUGAAGAAGGACAGUUUAGUGAUGCAGACGAAGAUGCUCCAAGAGUUGAGCUGUCAAGGGGAAAACCAGUAUUCGAAUCACAGAUUGCAAAUAAUUUAGAUAGUUUGCAAAUUGAUGAAACGCAUGACAACGAAUCAAGUGAAGAUGAAUUAGAUUAUGAUUGGGAGUACUCAGCAGAGGAUAAUGGACAAAAAAAUAAUUUAAAAAAUUUAAAUAGGCGUACUCCUAAUUCUCAGACUGCUUCUAAUAAGGUAGCAAAUUAUCAACCAACUGAUAAGCUAUUUAGAAGAUAUUCGAACAAAAUCAAUGUUGAACAAUACGAAGGACCAUCUUUACCAGGACAUGCCAAAAACGUUCUUAUUGAAAGUAAUAAACGUGCAGAGAAGGAUCGUAUACGCACGAAAGACAAGCAUGAUCGUGCAACUGUUGAACAAGUCAUGGACCCACGUACUAGAAUGAUCUUGUUCAAACUACUGAACCAAGGUAUCAUAGCUGAAAUCAAUGGUUGCAUAUCAACAGGCAAAGAAGCAAAUGUAUAUCAUGCAACUUCAAAGACUGCUAUUGAAUUUGCAAUAAAAAUCUAUAAAACGUCUAUACUGCAGUUUAAAGAUCGUGACAAAUAUGUAAGUGGAGAAUUUCGUUUUCGUCACGGUUACUGUCGUCAUAAUCCGCGAAAAAUGGUACGCACUUGGGCUGAAAAAGAGAUGAGGAAUUUAAUUCGUCUCGCACAAGGAGGAGUGAGCGCUCCAAAACCAAUUUUAUUACGUAGUCAUGUUCUAUUGAUGGAUUUUAUUGGUACCAACGGUUGGCCAUCUCCAAAAUUAAAAGAUGCUGUGUUGAGCUCAUCUAAACCAAGAAAGCUUUACAGAGAAUGUGUUGAAACUAUGUGGACGCUUUAUAAUAAAUGCAAAUUGGUUCAUGCUGAUCUUAGCGAAUACAACUUAUUGUAUCAUGACGGAUCAAUUGUUGUUAUUGAUGUUUCACAAGCUGUGGAGCAUGAUCACCCUCAUGCUCUUGAAUUUCUCAGAAAAGAUUGCAACAACAUAACAGAAUUUUUCCGUAAAAAUGACGUUGCUGUUAUGACGGUGAAAGAGCUUUUUGAUUUUAUAACUGAUCCUACCGUGACGGAGGAUAAUAUGGAAGAAUAUUUGGAUACAGUAUCCGAAAGAGCAACACAGCGUAUCCAAGAUGGAAUAGAUCCAAAUCAGGAGAUAGAGGAACAAGUUUUUAAACAAGCUUAUAUUCCUCAAAGACUAACAGAGGUUGUCGAUAUAGAGCGUGAUAUAAAAUUGGCAAAAGCUGGUAAAGAAGAUUUAAUAUAUAAAACAUUGGUGGGUUUGAGAGCCGAUCUUUCUAAACCAGCAGAUGUGCCUGAGAUUUUGGCAUCGAAGGAUGAGAAGAAAAAAUUAGAAAAUGAGGAGGAUGACGAAUCAUUAGAAAGUAAUGAAACUUCAGAGAAUGACAGUUCUAAUGACGACAAUGACGAGGAUAACGAGAAUUCAAAAUUUGUUCAUACUGGACGUCCACGAGAUGAAUCACCAGAGAGUAGAAAGGCACGGAAAAAGGUGGUGAAGGAACAAAAAGCUGAAAAAAGGAAACUUAAAAUAAAAAAGCACGUUAAGAAAAGGAAAGAAAGAAUUAUGAAAAAGAAAUAAUAAUCCUAAUCCGAAUUGUAUCAUAGAAAUGAAGGAACGCAAUUGUCAUAUAGUAUAAGAUAAGAUUACUAUGUAGCUGUAAAGGGUAUUCAAUUGCAUCCUUCGUAUCCCCAUUCUUACUACCGCCGCUCCUCCUUGCUCUACUGCCAAUCAACUAAGCAGUGGCGUAAAAGCAAACGCCAAAAAAGAGAAGUUUCGUUAAAAUCCCAAUAUUGGAAUUUUAAUUAAUAAAAUUGGAACUAGCACUAAUACAUUUUUCUAAACAUGUAUUCUGUUUUUGUCAUUAAUAUUACGUUUUCUAUUACGAGACAUCCGUUUUUUCUAACUAUAAAUGACAAAAUUAAUAAUAUUGUUUAUAAAAAUAAUAAUAUAAAUUA
This is an RNA transcript of Cephus cinctus (wheat stem sawfly), 2176 nucleotides long. It is a transcript of the gene named serine/threonine-protein kinase RIO1, with no coding region annotated. The transcript is spliced from 6 exons. Lineage: Eukaryota; Metazoa; Arthropoda; Insecta; Hymenoptera; Cephidae. The record is from RefSeq and is a predicted model, not a curated record.